UUUAAGGUGGCAGAAUAAUUGCAUCAACUUUAAGCGUUGAACAUAAAGACUUUUCUUUUCUUGUUG
RNAcentral lists this transfer RNA (66 nucleotides) under Eurytemora affinis. Its description in RNAcentral is "tRNA-Leu". The record is from RNAcentral. Lineage: Eukaryota; Metazoa; Arthropoda; Copepoda; Calanoida; Temoridae.